Molecule: transfer-messenger RNA, 362 nt
Filed under: Victivallaceae
Lineage: Bacteria; Pseudomonadati; Lentisphaerota; Lentisphaeria; Victivallales
Also listed under: 1 other name
Description: SIG78 sp015061545 Standard tmRNA
Rfam family: transfer-messenger RNA
About the family: Bacterial tmRNA, also known as 10Sa RNA or SsrA, is named for its dual tRNA and mRNA-like properties. Its role is to liberate the mRNA from a stalled ribosome.
Source: RNAcentral
GGGGGUGUACCGGAUUCGAUUGGCAGCGUUCGGGGCGGAUUGCAUGUCGAGGAUGAUCGUUGGCCUCGUAAAACAUCGGUCAAAACAAUAAUUGCGAACGAACAGUACGCAUUGGCUGCGUAAUUUGACGGCCACAUCCGCUGCCUGAAGGAUGCUAAGGCAAUCCGGGUGUCAUAGAGCAUUCUGGUCGAUAACAGCGACCUUUGGUUAUUGACGAGAUUAACAGGAAGGAAUAGUCGAGUUCAAGGCUACGUUGGGCAGCAACUUGAAAUCGACGAAAAGCAACUAAGCUCCAACUAAACAUGUAGAUAUCUGCUUUGGUGUUGACCAAGACAGGGGUUCAACUCCCCUCACCUCCACCA